RNAcentral lists this small RNA (485 nucleotides) under Histoplasma capsulatum var. duboisii H88. RNAcentral describes it as "Histoplasma capsulatum H88 hypothetical RNA". Lineage: Eukaryota; Fungi; Ascomycota; Eurotiomycetes; Onygenales; Ajellomycetaceae. The record is from RNAcentral.
GCUGCUUCUUUGUGAUGCUACUCUGCUUGACUCUGGGAUUGAGGCUGCCGGGGUGUCCGCACCCCUGUUCUGCAUAUGUGCCUUUCAAUGUGGUGUGUGAUUGGUGAUUUCAAACAGCAGAAAUUUUUACUCCCCAGUUGAUUUAUUCUUCUAUUUUCAUUUUCAUUUUCAUUUUCAUUUUCAUUUUUCAAUUUUUUUUUCAAUUUUAACUCAUUGGAAGGUCUUUUUUUCAAGACUCAGCUUGUCUUGAAACCCCUUCCAUCAGUGGGAUUGUGUGCGGAGAUGAAGGAGGUGGCAGCUGAUCAAGUGUAUUGAGAUGAUCAGUGAGCUGAUGUCUGGGGACUGAGAAUCAGAGUGCUUGCUGAGCCUGAGUGAUGUGGGUUGCAUUGCUUUUUGAGUCACCAAGGCUGACUGCCAUUGUAACAUUUCUUUCCACGGGCCAAUAGCAAAAAUGCUGCAUUUCAUUUGUGCUCGUGUGCGCCUGC